GACGAACGCUGGCGGCGUGCUUAACACUUGCAAGUCGAACGGUAAGGCCCCUUCGGGGGUACACGAGUGGCGAACGGGUGCGUAACACGUGAGCAACCUGCCCUUGACUCUGGAAUAACAGUUGGAAACAGCUGCUAAUACUGGAUAUUCAUCGUCUCCUUCCUGGGGGGUGGUGGAAAGCUCCGGCGGUCAGGGAUGGGCUCGCGGCCUAUCAGCUUGUUGGUGAGGUAAUGGCUCACCAAGGCUUCGACGGGUAGCCGGCCUGAGAGGGCGACCGGCCACACUGGGACUGAGAUACGGCCCAGACUCCUACGGGAGGCAGCAGUGGGGAAUAUUGCAAAAUGGGCGCAAGCCUGAUGCAGCAACGCCGCGUGCGGGAUGACGGCCUUCGGGUUGUAAACCGCUUUCAGUAGGGACGAAGGGUGAAUGACGGUACCUACAGAAGAAGGACCGGCUAACUACGUG
Molecule: ribosomal RNA, 465 nt
Filed under: uncultured bacterium
Lineage: Bacteria
Description: partial 16S ribosomal RNA
Rfam family: Bacterial small subunit ribosomal RNA
Source: RNAcentral